This 252-nucleotide non-coding RNA is filed under the name Peptococcaceae bacterium SCADC1_2_3. The record is from RNAcentral. Lineage: Bacteria; Bacillati; Bacillota; Clostridia; Eubacteriales; Peptococcaceae. RNAcentral also lists the same sequence under 1 other name.
AACUAAAUAAAAUAAACAGGUGCCUUAACAGGAGAAUAGGGAAAUUCGGAGGUUGGCACUCAGCAUUGCCGUAAAGGUAAGCUUUGGGCGGUAUCCUAGCUUAAAAUACUGAGUGUCACCCCAAACGGUGCGGUCCCGCCACUGUAGUCGGAGAGCUGGUUUAAAGCUGGUCACUGGGCGCCACCCUGGGAAGGCCUGAACAAAAAGCGAUGAUCCGUUAGCCAGGAGACCUGCCUGUUUAUUGAAAAAAUA